Molecule: long non-coding RNA, 237 nt
Filed under: Elaeis guineensis (African oil palm)
Lineage: Eukaryota; Viridiplantae; Streptophyta; Magnoliopsida; Arecales; Arecaceae
Description: long non-coding RNA (EGUI_LNC037899)
Source: RNAcentral
AUAAUCGACGUACCAUAAUAUUUCAAAAGUAUUUUUCUUUCAAAAUAUAAUUUCAUAAAUCAUGCAUAAUUUCAGAGAAUAAUUAUUUAUUUUCAGAAUAAAUAUGAAAUAUCUCGAGAAGAUGAUUCAUUACUUAUCUUUCACAGAGCAUUGAAUGAAUAGAUCGACUAACUUCUAGGAGAUUCUUCAGUACCUAUUAUCCAAAAUUAUAUUUUUAUAUUAAUUUUAAUUCAAAAU